ACAGUUUAAAUAUACAAUCUAAGCUGUUAAAUACAGGUUUGCUAUCAACAACAACAGCUGUCAUACUGUGAAUAUUUAAAGGGAUCUGAGUAUCUUGAUACUUAAUCAAAAGCCGAAUGUAAGUGUUUUGCUUUUUUUUUCUGAUACAUUGGUUAAACACCUCAGGAAAAAAUCUCUUGUACCAAUGCAGCUCUACCAGUAUGUAAUAAGAAAGAAAGCUCAUUGUUGUGAUACAACGCUAGUUCAUCCAAAAGACCCAGCUCAACAGAUAGCUAGCUAAUAGGUGAACAGGCUUCUCCAGUAAUAUUCUAUCAGCUUUUAAGUUUAACAAAAAGUUACCCGAAUGUUUUACAUGCUUGAAAUGUCAAUUUUUCAACUAAUGCUGCAAUAAAUAUUUAGUACUCAACCCACUGUGUGAAAGUCAACACAUCACUGUUAGCUAGGUGCUAAAAUAACAGUUUUUACUGUAGAAAUUAGCACUGUCAUAGUGACGGCCCAUAUAGCGAGCAUAUAUCUGUCCCCUGGCACCCAACUGACUGUUUGCCACUGCUGGUCCACCCUCGGACCACCCAGAUUACUGUCCUGCAUACAAGCUCUGACUACUUUUUAAUCUCUACAAACAGAUUUUAAGUGCACAGAGACUUUUAUUUUAGAAAAUAAACAAUGACAAAUAUUACAAACAAAUGAGAGGAAAAAAACUGACUAGGCCUGAUAUAAAAUGAUUUUAUAGAAAAUGUUGUUGCUGACUCUGAACUAGAUUAAAAUUAUUUACUAAAGUAAUUCACAAAGUAUAACUAAAGAAAGGAGGGAAGGAAAAUCAGUAAAUUGGACUGCGAGUGGAAAAUGAGUGAUGAUCAGUGGAAUGUUGUCUAAUAUGCUGCAUAAACACAGGUGGGCUUACCAGAAAACGCUGAGUAAAAUGCCAGUGGACCACAAGCUUUGCCAUCAGCAGGCCAACAGUGGUCCACUAUACUCUUGCUAUCAGGGGGUAAUCAAAACCAAAGUUUGGUUCAUAUGAUAAUUCAUAUACUAAACAUUGUGAUUAUGCCCACUGGUACAUGUUAAUGUUUAAAUGACAACAAAUAAAAAAAAACCCUACAAGAUACAAGCAUACAUUGGUCCACUAGCUGGAUAACGUCGGCUCCCUGCUCACUGUUUGCCACUGCUGGUCCACUCUCGGACCACCUGUCCUGUCUAACUAGUUUUAAUCUCCUCAAACAGAUUUUACAUGUACCAGACUUUAAUUUUAGAAAAUAAACAGACAAAUAUUACAAAAAACUGAGAGAAAAAAAUUUAUGACUAGGUGUAAUAUAAAAUGAUUUUAUAGAAAAUGUUGUUGCUGACACUGAACUAGAUUAAAAUUGUUUACUAAACAAAUUUACAAAGUAUAACUAAAGAAAGAAAUGAAGGAAAUAUAAGUAAAUUGGACUGUGAGUGGAAACUGAGUGAUGAUCAGUGGAAUUUUGUCGAAUAUUCUGCUUAACCACCGGUGGGCCGCCUGGAAAACGCUGAGAAAAACGCCAGGGGUCCACCAGCUUCAGCUGGCCAAUAGUGGCCCACUAUCCUCAGGGGACUGGAGUAUUCCAUGCUUAAUGUAACGCUGGGACGGCUGUUAGGAUGCCUGAUUACUUUCGUAGUUCUCAUGUGGCCUUUAUUUAUUUAUAACAAAAUAUUUUAUAUAUCAGACAGUCGACUGCCAGCUUGGUGUGUUAGGGAUGUUAGCCAUCUUCUAGACCUUCAUCACCCUGCUGAAAAAACUGGCUGACCGGCAUACAGUAUCCAAAACACAACACAUGCUAAUUUUGCUAGUGACCAGCCAUAAUGGUGUAUGCUGGUUUUUCUAACCGGACAGUGGUCAGUUUCUGACCUUACUGCCACUAGCUGGGUAUUUUGGUGACAGACAACCGCUGUGCCUGACACAGUCAUACCACCAUCACAUACACUACCAUGUCAGUGUGACUGAGGUGCUGAGAAUGAUCCACCACACAAACAAUACCUGGUCAGUGGUGGUUCUAUCAUGAUUCUCGGUGGUAGGUGGACCUCAUAGAUUGGCAAUUCAGUGUGGUGAGCCCAAGGCCUUAGCCAAGGCUGGUUCAGGAAAGAGGGCACGAGAGAGGAAGAGCGAGAGAUAAGAGCAAUAGAUUAGGUAAAUACCAACAGAGCAACAGAUUAACCAGUACCCAGGAGUUCAGCUGCUUUUGCUGAGGUUGUGUAAUAUCAAUAAUAGGAAUCAAUAUUGUGUAAUAGGCAUAAACUAUUCCCAGCUGUGCUUUCCUACAGAUAGCACACUAGUUGAACAUACUAAUACUGCAUGAUACAGACAGAGUACCAUAUUAUGCAAAUAUCGUCACAUUAUUGCAGUCAUGAUAUAAGAAAUUAAAAGCACACUGACGUAAUAGCAGUGGAUGCAUUAUUUACACCAAUUUUUUUGCCAUUGUUGAAUUGUUUAAAUCCUUGCUCAUGUGCACAAUGUAGCCUUUUGCUAUAGCCAAUAUUGCGAUUAACCAACAACGUACUGUGCAGCCCUAAUACCUGCUUAUAGCUCAGAUGGUUUAACACACGCAUAACUUUUUAAUAGAAUUUCGAACUUAUGGCUUAUGUGGUUGUUUAUAUAAGCAUUAUAAAUCAGUACAUAUUUGCAUUUAAGAGAUGUACCUAUUAUAGAGAUGAAUUUAGUCCUUGACUACAGACCUAAAACCUAGUGUUACACCUUUUGUCACUUUUCCAACAUUCUUAUGUCUUUGAUCUUCAAAACUGGACAGAUGACAUCAUCCAAAGCCAGACUUUCUUCAUAUAAUUUAUUGUAAACAAUCUAAUAAAUAUGACUUUUGUAUCAGUACACGUUCGCAUUCAUUCUGAUUGUUUUCAGUGAUAAACCCCAGUGUUCCAAAAUAUAUGCUAAAGACUUUUCCUCAAGGAUAAACCAAAAAGGGGGGGAAACUAUCAAGUAAUCACUAUUAGGCAGGUGCCCUACAAUGAGUUAAGGAAGGACCGCUGUAAGCAGUCUCUGAUGCAAGCGGGAGCAAGAACAAAUUAAGCCAAAGGCAGAGAAAAAAGUUACAUAUAAAGACCAGCAAUGCAGCAGCAGCAGGUAGGACUGUGUUCUGAGACAAAACAAAACAAACAGUGUCCUUUUGUUUGUUUGCAGUUUGUGUGCACUGGACUCAAGACAAGCUCUCAUCGCUCCAGAGUGCCCAUCAGUGGCUCCAUGGCUGCCAGGAAAGACACCUCAAACUCGUGGUCGGAAAAGCGGGUGACUGAUUGCCGUGCUCUUCUCCGGAUGUCCAAGCGUGCGCUGGGUGUCAGGCUGAGGAUCCGCUCCAUGGCCUCAGCAUAACUGUCCUCAUCAUCAGCCAGAAAGCCUGUCGGACCACCAUCGUGUGGUACCACAAUGUCCAGCUUGGGCCCACCAGAUUUGUGGGCCAGGAUGACCGUCCCAGCAGCCAUGCACUCAACCACACCUGAGAGAGACAGAGCAACAGAGAAAUGCUAAGUAAGACACAUAACCAGCCCUUGAAGGCUAAUUCGUUAGAUUAAUGAGCUGCACCACGGCUUAAAAAUUACAGACUGUCUGUGGGCUUGUCCUGUGGCUAGUAGGUGAGUACAAGUCCUGGAUCAAAUUUCUCUUAUUACAGAACAAGCAGGGAUGAACUGACAUGGGAUUUGUGGGCCAAUGCUGACAUCUGAUAUCCUUCCAUGUACAUAUCUGACAAUGCCGAUAUAUAAACAUUUAUAAAAUGUAGAAAUUGGGACUAGAUCCACAAAAUAGGACUACAGGGAAAUUUAACACUUAUUUGUAGACGAUUACAGUCAUAUGGAGAAGUGUGAACACCCCCGGUCUGAUUAAAUUGAAGUGAAAAUAAGUUAACACAUCCCAGCACAAUUACAUGACAACAAAGACGACAAAAACCUAGACCUGAACUUUCCUAACUGUGUGACCUUUUACACACGUACCAAAUAAAUGUCAUUUAUAACUAGUAAUCCACUUUAAAAUGUGGAUAUUUUGUGCAGUACAGUUUCUCAUUAGGUUGGAUGAGAUUUUUGGCAUCAUUCUCUAAAGCUUGCCCAACCUAGCGACAGUUGCUAUGAAAGAAUGCAUUUGCACCUGGUGCAUGGAUAGGUCAAUUACGCUUCUUACCAAUGCCAAAAUGUUCGUUCCACAUGGUGUGCAGGCCGAUCGUAGCCUCCACCAAUUCCUUCUUCAGCUCCUCAAAUGGAAUGUUGAGUUUGAACUCCACUCUGUCACCCACGCCCAGCUCUUGGCACAGCCCCCUCAGCAUCAGCACCCUGUCCUCGUCUUCCUGGUUCCGACAUCCUCCAAUCAGCACCAGUUUCACUGACUCCCUCCCUCCAGGCUCUGAUUCUUUCCUGUCUAGAAAUUUCCGGAAGGCCCUGAUCUGUAGCUGGUGGUCCUUCUCUGGCCGGAACUGGGCCACCGACACCACAGAGUGGCACUUCUCGCCUGCAUCCUGCUCCUCUUCCUCCUCCAGAGGGAUGUCGAGGAACGCCUGGACGUCGCAGGGUGGGUACACCACGCUGGUGCGGUUGGGGGCGCGCCAAAGUGCAAGGAUGUGGCCCAGCGUCCAGGUGGAGUUGACCAUGACCACAUCGCUGCAAGAGCCGGCCAGCCCGUAUAGCAGCGCGAAGGCACAGUAGUAAACCACCUUUAUGGCACUCAGCACAGGGUUAUUGGUGAUGUAGUCUGCGUUGUUGAACCUACAGGAGGGAUGAGAGAAACAGUACUGUUUAAAAGUUAAAAAUCAAAACUU
Molecule: long non-coding RNA, 4769 nt
Organism: Colossoma macropomum (tambaqui)
Lineage: Eukaryota; Metazoa; Chordata; Actinopteri; Characiformes; Serrasalmidae
Exons: 2
Source: RefSeq, a predicted model, not a curated record